RNAcentral lists this ribosomal RNA (253 nucleotides) under uncultured bacterium. RNAcentral describes it as "partial 16S ribosomal RNA". It matches the Rfam family "Bacterial small subunit ribosomal RNA", at positions 524 to 776 of the family's 1533-position model. The record is from RNAcentral.
UACGUAGGGUGCAAGCGUUGUCCGGAAUUAUUGGGCGUAAAGAGCUCGUAGGCGGCUUGUCGCGUCGAAUGUGAAAACCUGCAGCUCAACUGCAGGCUUGCAUUCGAUACGGGCAGGCUCGAGUUCGGUAGGGGAGACUGGAAUUCCUGGUGUAGCGGUGAAAUGCGCAGAUAUCAGGAGGAACACCGGUGGCGAAGGCGGGUCUCUGGGCCGGUACCGACGCUGAGGAGCGAAAGCGUGGGGAGCGAACAGG